AGUGAAGCGGCAAAAGCUCAAAUUUGAAAUCUGGUACUUUCAGUGCCCGAGUUGUAAUUUGAAGAAGGUAUCUUUGGACCUGGCUCUUGUCUAUGUUCCUUGGAACAGGACGUCACAGAGGGUGAGAAUCCCGUGCGAUGAGAUGCUCCAGGUCUAUGUAAAGUUCCUUCGAAGAGUCGAGUUGUUUGGGAAUGCAGCUCUAAGUGGGUGGUAAAUUCCAUCUAAAGCUAAAUAUUGGCGAGAGACCGAUAGCGAACAAGUACAGUGAUGGAAAGAUGAAAAGAACUUUGAAAAGAGAGUGAAAAAGUACGUGAAAUUGUUGAAAGGGAAGGGCUUGAGAUCAGACUUGGUAUUUUGUAUGUUAUUCUCUCGGGGAUGGCCUCUACAGUUUACCGGGCCAGCAUCGGUUUGAACGGUAGGAUAAUGAUAAAGAAAUGUGGCAUCACUCGUGAUGUGUUAUAGUCUUUGUUGAUACUGCCAGUUUAGACCGAGGACUGCGAUUUUAUCUAGGAUGUUGGCAUAAUGAUCUUAAGUCGCCCGUCUUGA
This 546-nucleotide ribosomal RNA is filed under the name Insectozyma xiaguanensis. Its description in RNAcentral is "Candida xiaguanensis partial large subunit ribosomal RNA". It matches the Rfam family "Eukaryotic large subunit ribosomal RNA", at positions 92 to 657 of the family's 3401-position model. Lineage: Eukaryota; Fungi; Ascomycota; Pichiomycetes; Serinales; Debaryomycetaceae. The record is from RNAcentral.